This 305-nucleotide ribosomal RNA is filed under the name uncultured bacterium. RNAcentral's name for it is "bacterial SSU rRNA". It matches the Rfam family "Bacterial small subunit ribosomal RNA", at positions 338 to 660 of the family's 1533-position model. The record is from RNAcentral.
CCUACGGGGGGCAGCAGUGGGGAAUAUUGCACAAUGGGGGGAACCCUGAUGCAGCGACGCCGCGUGAGUGAAGAAGUAUUUCGGUAUGUAAAGCUCUAUCAGCAGGGAAAAUAAUGACGGUACCUGACUAAGAAGCCCCGGCUAACUACGUGCCAGCAGCCGCGGUAAUACGUAGGGGGCAAGCGUUAUCCGGAUUUACUGGGUGUAAAGGGGGCGUAGGUGGCAGGGCAAGUCAGAUGUGAAAGCCCGGGGCCCAACCCCGGAACUGCAUUGGAAACUGUCCGGCGGGAGGGCAGGAGAGGUAG